Molecule: ribosomal RNA, 253 nt
Filed under: uncultured bacterium
Lineage: Bacteria
Description: partial 16S ribosomal RNA
Rfam family: Bacterial small subunit ribosomal RNA
Source: RNAcentral
UACAGAGGGUGCAAGCGUUGUUCGGAAUUACUGGGCGUAAAGCGCGUGUAGGCGGCGGCGUAAGUCGGGUGUGAAAUCCCUCAGCUCAACUGAGGGAGUGCACUCGAUACUGUGUCGCUUGAAUGUCGGAGGGGAUGGCGGAAUUCCCGGUGUAGAGGUGAAAUUCGUAGAUAUCGGGAGGAACACCUGUGGCGAAGGCGGCCAUCUGGACGACAAUUGACGCUGAGACGCGAAAGCGUGGGUAGCAAACAGG